Oncorhynchus tshawytscha (Chinook salmon) is the source of this 4120-nucleotide long non-coding RNA. NCBI's taxonomy places the organism in Eukaryota, Metazoa, Chordata, Actinopteri, Salmoniformes, Salmonidae. The record is from Ensembl.
UCAGAUUGAUUCAGUUUCUCUCCGCCUGAAAUUAUAUACUCUGGCUCAGAUUGAUUCAGUUUCUCUCCUCCUGAAGGUAUCUUCUCUUGUUCAGAUUGAUUCCGUUUCUCUCCACCUAAAGGUAUAUUCUCUUGCUCGGAUUGAUUCCGUUUCUCUCCGCCUGAAGUUAUGUACUCUGGCUCGGAUUGAUUCCGUUUCUCUCCGCCUGAAGUUAUAUCCUCUUGUUCAGAUUGAUUCAGUUCCUCUCUGUCUGAGGGUAUGUGUUCUUGCACAUAUAGAUUCAGUUUCUCUCCGCCUGAAGUUAUGUACUCUGGCUCGGAUUGAUUCAGUUUCUCUCCACCUGAAGGUAUAUACUCUGACUCGGAUUGAUUCAUUUUCUCUCCGUCUGUUGGUAUGUGUUCUUGUGCAUUUACGUUCUGUUUCUCUCCGCCUGAAGUUAUGUACUCUGGCUCGGAUUGAUUCAGUUUUUCUCCACCUAAAGGUAUAUGUUCUUGUUCAGAUUGAUUCAUUUUCUCUCCGCCUGAAAUUAUAUACUCUGGCUCGAAUUGAUUCAGUUUCUGUCCACCUAAAGGUAUAUUUUCUUGCUCGGAUUGAUUCAGUUUCUCUCCGCCUGAAGUUAUGUACUCUGGCUCGAAUUGAUUCAGUUUCUGUCCACCUAAAGGUAUAUUCUCUUGUUCAGACUGAUUCAGUUUCUGUCCACCUAAAGGUAUAUUCUCUUGUUCAGAUUGAUUCAGUUCCUCUCUGUCUGAGGGUAUGUGUUCUUGCACAUAUAGAUUCAGUUUCUCUCCGCCUGAAGUUAUGUACUCUGGCUCGAAUUGAUUCAGUUUCUGUCCACCUAAAGGUAUAUUCUCUUGUUCAGAUUGAUUCAGUUUCUCUCCGCCUGAAAUUAUAUACUCUGGCUCGAAUUGAUUCAGUUUCUGUCCACCUAAAGGUAUAUUUUCUUGCUCGGAUUGAUUCAUUUUCUCUCUGUCUGAGGGUAUAUGUUCUUGCUCACAUAUAUCCAGUGUCUCGCCGCCUGAAGUUAUAUCCUCUUGUUCAGAUUGAUUCAGUUUCUCUCCGCCUGAAAUUAUAUACUCUGGCUCAGAUUGAUUCAGUUUCUCUCCUCCUGAAGGUAUCUUCUCUUGUUCAGAUUGAUUCCGUUUCUCUCCACCUAAAGGUAUAUUCUCUUGCUCGGAUUGAUUCCGUUUCUCUCCGCCUGAAGUUAUGUACUCUGGCUCGGAUUGAUUCAGUUUCUCUCCGUCUGUUGGUAUGUUUUCUUGUGCAUUUACGUUCUGUUUCUCUCCGCCUGAAGGUAUAUGCUCUUGCUCAUAUUGAUUCAGUUUCUCUCCGCCUGAAGGUAUCUUCUCUUGUUCAGAUUGAUUCAUUUUCUCUCCAUCUGAGGGUAUGUUUUCUUGCACAUAUAGAUUCAGUUUCUCUCUGCCUGAGGGUAUAUACUCUUGUUCAGAUUGAUUCAGAUUCUCUCCAUCUGUGGGUAUGUGUUCUUGUGCAUUUAGAUUCAGUUUCUCUCCUCCUGAAGGUAUAUACUCUUGUUCAGAUUGAUUCAGUCUCUCUGAGUGUAUAUACUCUUGCUCAGGUUGAUUCAGUCUCUCUGAGUGUAUAUACUUUUGCUCAGUUUGAUUCAGUCUCUCUGAGUGUAUCUGCUCUACCUCCUCACUGUAUAAUAUGUCUUGUGUCUGGGAAAGUUCAGUGUGAGACUCAAUUUGAAGACUCAGUACUGACUCGCUCUCAAUCAUCUGCCCAGUAAAGUGUUCACUGUAACUGGAUAUAGAUAAAUUCUCUAGCUCUUGCUCCACCAAUCUAUCAAUUCUUUCUUCAUUAUAGUCCUCAUCAGAGCACACCAUGGAGUACUCUCCAGGUUCUGUAAGUUCCUCAUAGGAUUGCUCCUCUUCUGCCUCCUGAAUCAACUGAUCUACAGCAUUCUCCUCAUCGUUCUCCUGUGUAGCAUGCUCCUUUGUUUGGCUAGCAUCCACGUCGCCUUGGUGAGUGGAGCCCAUGUGACGUUCCUGAUCUAUGACAUCUCCUUCUGACUCUUCAUACAGAUCCUCCAUGGUGUCAAACUGUUUGGACUUGCCUUCGCCCCAGGUGUCUGUUCCUGUCUGGCAAACCUCCCUGUCCUCUUCACCAUCACUGGAGUCGCUCUCGCCCAUGUGUGAAGCCAGAGUGUUGACAUCCGUCUCGUCACUCUUGUAACGGAUCAAGGGGUGUGUGUCGGCUAGUGUGUUGUCCUGAGCAUAGCUGUCGCCUUCUAGCUCAGCCCUCCAUGAAACAGAAUUAUUUUGACAGUAGUUUGCCUCAUCAUGAUCCUCUUUGUCAUUGUCGGAUAUAUUCAGUUUAUCUCCGCCUGAAGUUAUGUACUCUGGCUCGGAUUGAUUCAGUUUCUCUCCACCUGAAGGUAUAUACUCUGACUCGGAUUGAUUCAUUUUCUCUCCGUCUGUUGUUAUGUGUUCUUGUGCAUUUACGUUCUGUUUCUCUCCGCCUGAAGUUAUGUACUCUGGCUCGGAUUGAUUCAGUUUCUCUCCGCCUGAAGGUAUAUGUUCUUGCUCAGAUUGAUUCAGUUUCUCUCCGUUUGAAUUGAUAUACCUUUGCUCAGACUGAUUCAGUUUCUCUCUGCCUGAAGGUAUUUGCUCUUGCUCGAAUAGAUUUUGUUUCUCUUCAUUUGAAGGUAUAUACUCUUGAUCAGACCGAUUGGGUUGGGCUUCUCUGUUAUUCCACAUCUCUUCCUCUUUCACAUGAUACUUUGCUUCUUUCCAAUCAUCCAUUCUUUCUCCAAUUCCAUUCUCUUCAUUGUACCCUGCCACUCGAUCCCAUUCAUCCUUUACAUCCCCAUUGGGGUUCAGUGCAUGUUGUUCCUCACGUUUGUUAGACAUAUCAUUUUCAUCAUCCACUUUUGUGAAAUUUAUGUCACCUUCCUCCACUCUUUCAACAUGGUGAAAUACCUCUUCUGACCAGUGAGAAGCUUGAGCAGAUUCAUAUGAGAUAAUCUCCUCUUGGUUGAACUUAUCGAUUCUUUCUGUCAUGUCAUUUUCCUUAAUGAAUCCUCCCAAUCUUUCACAAUCAUCGUUACCAUACCCAUAGGGGUGCAAUUCAUCUUCCAAUUGCUCCUCAUGUUUGUUAGACAUAUCAUUUUCAUCCUCUUUUGGGAGAUGAAUAACAUCUUCCUCCAGUCUUUUAACAUGGCGAAAUGCCUCUUCUGAACCGUGGGAGGCUUGAGUGGAUUCAUAUGACAUAUUGUCCUCUUGGUUGAACUCUAUUGGCUUGUUGUAACUUUUCCCCGCCCCAUACUCAAAAGCUUGACUGCUUGUGAAGGUUUCAAAUGCUUGCUCUAGCACUGAUGCAGUUUCAGAUUCCAAGCCUUCGUUUCUCGCCCAUUCAGCAUCUUUCUUUGCUGUUUCAAGCUCUCUUUCCUCCGAUGCAUUCAUGGGACCGUAAGGCAUAUCUAGUAGAGGUUCCUCUUUUUCAAAAUACAUUUCAAAAGGUACAUCAUUAUCAUCAUUCGCUGAGAAAGCAGAAUGUGCCCCUGUCACCGAACCUGCUCUCUCAUAGCUCACUGAAGGGCUGUAGAGCUCUUGAGCAUCAGUGCUGAACACAGUUGGCAUACUGAAGCUGGUCUCGACCCGGUGACUCAUGGCAGAUUCCAGAACGGGUUUCUCUUCAGCAAACCAGGUUCUGACUAUGUUCUGAUCCUCUUCCUCCUUUUCCAUAUCCCACAUGGAUUGUUCCUUGUGGUCAGAUCCAAGCAAAGAUACAACAUCAGCUCCUGCCUCUUCAGUGGGAGGUGAGAGAGGCUCAGCAUAGUUGACUUCUAUAUGGACAUCUUGGGGUCUGAAGUGGUGGACUGAAAUUCCGUCCUGUGGUACUUUGAGGUAAGGCGUUGAACAACUUACCUGGUGGUUGGACCCUACGCCAAAGUCGAUAUGCUCUUCUGUCUUUCGACAACUCUCAGGUGUUUCAUUCAGGGUUACCCGAUUUUGAGUCCAGAUUGGUGAUGCGGACAUCAUUGUCACAUUGGAUCGUGGACUUGCUCUAUGGAUGGUAGAGAUGGGCCUGAUCAUGUGACUGGUAGCCAGCUGUGUCUGGAAGCUUUGCUUAACCCCUCGGGAGCUGGGCACUCCAACUGUGA